This 445-nucleotide ribosomal RNA is filed under the name Pantoea sp. Nvir. RNAcentral's name for it is "bacterial SSU rRNA". It matches the Rfam family "Bacterial small subunit ribosomal RNA", at positions 349 to 787 of the family's 1533-position model. The record is from RNAcentral. Lineage: Bacteria; Pseudomonadati; Pseudomonadota; Gammaproteobacteria; Enterobacterales; Erwiniaceae.
CAGCAGUGGGGAAUAUUGCACAAUGGGCGCAAGCCUGAUGCAGCCAUGCCGCGUGUAUGAAGAAGGCCUUCGGGUUGUAAAGUACUUUCAGCGGGGAGGAAGGCGAGCGGUUAAUAACCGCGUCGAUUGACGUUACCCGCAGAAGAAGCACCGGCUAACUCCGUGCCAGCAGCCGCGGUAAUACGGAGGGUGCAAGCGUUAAUCGGAAUUACUGGGCGUAAAGCGCACGCAGGCGGUCUGUCAAGUCGGAUGUGAAAUCCCCGGGCUUAACCUGGGAACUGCAUUCGAAACUGGCAGGCUAGAGUCUUGUAGAGGGGGGUAGAAUUCCAGGUGUAGCGGUGAAAUGCGUAGAGAUCUGGAGGAAUACCGGUGGCGAAGGCGGCCCCCUGGACAAAGACUGACGCUCAGGUGCGAAAGCGUGGGGAGCAAACAGGAUUAGAUACCC